RNAcentral lists this ribosomal RNA (244 nucleotides) under uncultured bacterium. Its description in RNAcentral is "partial 16S ribosomal RNA". It matches the Rfam family "Bacterial small subunit ribosomal RNA", at positions 90 to 334 of the family's 1533-position model. The record is from RNAcentral.
CCGUAGUGGCGAACGGUCGCGUAACACGUGAACAACCUGCCCUCGUGUGGGGGAUAGCCGGGCUAACGCCCGGGUAAUACCGCAUACGUUCCCUUGGAGGAGUCUCUGGGGGAGGAAAGCUCCGGCGCACGGGGAGGGGUUCGCGGCCUAUCAGCUAGUUGGCGGGGUAAUGGCCCACCAAGGCGACGACGGGUAGCUGGUCUGAGAGGAUGGCCAGCCACAUUGGGACUGAGAGACGGCCCAG